Scylla paramamosain (green mud crab) is the source of this 810-nucleotide long non-coding RNA. RefSeq lists it as uncharacterized. Lineage: Eukaryota; Metazoa; Arthropoda; Malacostraca; Decapoda; Portunidae. The record is from RefSeq and is a predicted model, not a curated record. The transcript is spliced from 3 exons.
CUCAUUUCUUCCAAUGUAUUUUGUGUAUGAUGUGAGAAAUGACGGUAAAGAACAACUAGAAGCACACAUCAUAAAUCACUGCACCGCUGUACCACUGAACCUCCAAAGCCAUCAACAGUAAUGGCAAUAGCAGUUGUAAAGAGAUCAAUUAACUAUGCUUCACCUGCCUCUACUUCCCUCACGUCCCCUCUUUCCAGCUCAGUAGUUUCAAGCACACGCCUAGCGACGCCCAAACACUCCCGGUCGUCUUGGAACAGCGCGCAAGUCUGUGCUGGAGAGGGCACAGGCGGGCUGGUGGAGGCGGGCCGCGACACUCAAUAGGCGACGCAGCGUGUAGACCGCAGCGUGGCUCCAACCCUCGCAUCAUGGAGUGGCUGUUGGAAGGCCUGUCUUGCGGGCGUCUGCUGUUGUUGGGAGUUUUGAUGAUGAUGGGACACCAUGUUCAGGCUGAAAUGUGCGUGGCUGCACCAAGUGGAAUAGAAAAGGUCAAACUCCCUACCGGUGAAGUGGCCUUAUUCUGUUCGUCCAGAAUGCCUUGGAGCACCAAUGAGUUUGCUCACAUCACCACGUGUACCGAGUCAGGCACAGUCGAAAUGAGCUAUACAUGCCCAGGAACUAAAGGAAUCGUGAGCUGUUCUGCUGAAGCUCCCGUCCCGGCGAACAGUGAGGUGGCUCAGACUGAGGAAGUGGAUAAGGUGACGGCCGUUCACUACCUGACCUGCAAUGAUCCCUUGGUCUGGAUGAGCGGCGCUAAGGGGGUCCUGACGCAGUGCAUAACGGAUACCUGGACGCCCGUGCUGGAUUUCUGCG